GAUGAACGCUGGCGGCGUGCCUAAUACAUGCAAGUCGAACGGUAACAGGAGGAGCCUUCCCUCUUGACGUUCGAGUCGCGCGCGUGAGUAACAUGUCGGUAACCCUGCCAUAUGGCUGGGGUUACCUACUGAAAACGGUACCAAUUACGGAUUAUAUACUGAACCCCAUGGUUCAAUAGCUACAGGCGGCUUUGCAGCCACUUAUCGCUGGUUCCGCGCCGCAUUAGCUAGUAGGUAGGGUAACGGCUUACCAAGGCAACGAUGCGUAGCCGACCUGAGAGGGUGAUCAGCCACACUGGAACUGAGACACGGUCCAGACUCCUACGGGAGGCAGCAGUAGGGAAUCUUGCGCAAUGGGCGAAAGCCUGACGGAGCAACGCCGCGUGUAUGAUGAAGGUCUUCGGAUCGUAAAACUCUGUUAGUAGGGAAGAACAAAGGUGUAAGUAUCUAUGCACGUAUUGACGGUACCUAAUCAGAAAGCCACGGCUAACUACGUG
Molecule: ribosomal RNA, 497 nt
Filed under: uncultured bacterium
Lineage: Bacteria
Description: partial 16S ribosomal RNA
Rfam family: Bacterial small subunit ribosomal RNA
Source: RNAcentral